AUGGAGAGUUUGAUCCUGGCUCAGGACGAACGCUGGCGGCGUGCCUAACACAUGCAAGUCGAGCGGUCUCGCCUAUAGCAAAAGGCCUUCGGGCUUCGAGCAAAGGCGAGAUAGCGGCGGACGGGUGAGUAACGCGUGGCUUAUCUGUCCCAGGGAGGGGGAUAACGUCUGGAAACGGGCGCUAAUACCCCAUAUGCCGGUGAGGUAAAAAGGAGAAAUCCGCCCUGGGGUGAGGCCGCGUCCUAUCAGCUAGUUGGUGAGGUAACGGCCCACCAAGGCUAUGACGGGUAGCCGGCCUGAGAGGGCGGCUGGCCACACUGGGAUUGAGAUACGGCCCAGACUCCUACGGGAGGCAGCAGUGGGGAAUAUUGGGCAAUGGGGGAAACCCUGACCCAGCGACGCCGCGUGGAGGAAGGAGCCCUUCGGGGUGUAAACUCCUGUUGUAAGGGAAGAAGACAGUGACGGUACCUUACGAGGAAGCCCCGGCAAACUACGUGCCAGCAGCCGCGGUAACACGUAGGGGGCGAGCGUUGUCCGGAAUCACUGGGCGUAAAGCGCACGCAGGCGGAUGCGCGCGUCGGCUGUGAAAUGCACCGGCUCAACCGGUGCACUGCGGUCGAUACGGCGCGUCUGGAGUGCGGGAGAGGGAAGCGGAAUUCCCGGUGUAGCGGUGAAAUGCGUAGAUAUCGGGAGGAACGCCGGUGGCGAAGGCGGCUUCCUGGCCCGCAACUGACGCUCAUGUGCGAAAGCCAGGGGAGCGAACCGGAUUAGAUACCCGGGUAGUCCUGGCCGUAAACGAUGGACGCUAGGUGUGGGCGGUUUAUCCGUCUGUGCCGAAGUUAACGCGUUAAGCGUCCCGCCUGGGGAGUACGAUCGCAAGGUUGAAACUCAAAGGAAUUGACGGGGGCCCGCACAAGCGGUGGAGCGCGUGGUUUAAUUCGAUGCAAACCGAAGAACCUUACCUGGGUUUGACAUGCAGGUGGUACGAGCCCGAAAGGGUGAGGACCGCACCUUCGGGUGCGGAGCCUGCACAGGUGCUGCAUGGCUGUCGUCAGCUCGUGUCGUGAGAUGUUGGGUUAAGUCCCGCAACGAGCGCGACCCCUGCUUCCAGUUGCCAUCAGGUCAAGCUGGGCACUCUGGAGGGACUGCCGGCGACAAGUCGGAGGAAGGCGGGGAUGACGUCAAGUCAUCAUGGCCCUUAUGUCCAGGGCGACACACGCGCUACAAUGGCCGGCACAGAGGGAGGCAAGCCCGCGAGGGUGAGCAGAUCCUGUUAAAGCCGGUCUCAGUUCGGAUCGCAGUCUGCAACCCGACUGCGUGAAGCCGGAAUCGCUAGUAAUCGCGGAUCAGCCAUGCCGCGGUGAAUACGUUCCCGGGCCUUGUACACACCGCCCGUCACACCACCCGAGUUGGGUGUUCCCGAAGCCGCUCUUCCCAACCCGUAAGGGAGGGAGGCGUCGAAGGAAUGCCUGGUGAGGGGGGUGAAGUCGUAACAAGGUAGCCGUACCGGAAGGUGCGGCUGGAUCACCUCCUUU
This 1535-nucleotide ribosomal RNA is filed under the name Thermosynergistes pyruvativorans. RNAcentral describes it as "16S ribosomal RNA". It matches the Rfam family "Bacterial small subunit ribosomal RNA". The record is from RNAcentral. Lineage: Bacteria; Thermotogati; Synergistota; Thermosynergistaceae.